AGAGUUUGAUCCUGGCUCAGGAUGAACGCUAGCGGCGUGCCUAACACAUGCAAGUCGAACGAGCAGUCGGAUUCUUCGGAAACCGGCGGGCGAGUGGCGAACGGGUGAGUAACACGUAGGUGACCUGCCCCGAAGUGGGGGAUAAUCCUUCGAAAGAGGGCCUAAUCCCGCAUGUGCUCCGCAGGGUUAGAGUCCUGCGGAGUAAAACUCCGGUGCUUCGGGAGGGGCCUGCGGCCGAUUAGCUAGUUGGUGGGGUAAUGGCUCACCAAGGCUAUGAUCGGUAGCUGGUCUGAGAGGAUGGUCAGCCACACUGGCACUGAGACACGGGCCAGACUCCUACGGGAGGCAGCAGUGAGGAAUAUUGCGCAAUGGGCGAAAGCCUGACGCAGCAACGCCGCGUGGGUGAUGAAGGCCUUCGGGUCGUAAAACCCUUUUCUGGGGGAUGAGGAAGGACAGUACCUCAGGAAUAAGUCUCGGCUAACUACGUGCCAGCAGCCGCGGUAAAACGUAGGAGGCAAGCGUUAUCCGGAAUCACUGGGCGUAAAGAGCGCGCAGGCGGCUCCAUAAGUCGGACGUGAAAGCCCCUGGCUUAACUGGGGGAGGUCGCUCGAUACUGUGGGGCUUGAGGUCGGGAGAGGGAAGCGGAAUUCCCGGUGUAGUGGUGAAAUGCGUAGAUAUCGGGAGGAACACCAGUGGCGAAGGCGGCUUCCUGGCCCGCACCUGACGCUAAGGCGCGAAAGCGUGGGUAGCAAACGGGAUUAGAUACCCCGGUAGUCCACGCCCUAAACGAUGGCAACUAGGUGUUGGGGGCUAUUAACCCCCUCAGUGCCGAAGCAAACGCGAUAAGUUGCCCGCCUGAGGACUACGAGCGCAAGCUUAAAACUCAAAGGAAUUGACGGGGACCCGCACAAGCAGCGGAGCGUGUGGUUUAAUUCGAUGCAACACGAAGAACCUUACCUGGGCUUGACAUGACCGUAGUAGUGAAGCGAAAGCAGAACGAGCCUGUAUAGGCAGCGGCCACAGGUGCUGCAUGGCUGUCGUCAGCUCGUGCCGUGAGGUGUUGGGUUAAGUCCCGCAACGAGCGCAACCCCUGCUGUUAGUUACAUGUGUCUAACGGGACUGCCGGUUUAACGCCGGAGGAAGGUGGGGACGACGUCAAGUCAGCAUGGCCCUUAUGUCCAGGGCUACACACACGCUACAAUGGCCGGUACAAUGGGUUGCCAAGUCGCGAGGCGGAGCUAAUCCCAUCAAAGCCGGUCUCAGUUCGAAUUGGAGUCUGCAACCCGACUCCAUGAAGUUGGAGUUGCUAGUAACCGCCGGUCAGCCAUACGGCGGUGAAUACGUUCCCGGGUCUUGUACACACCGCCCGUCACGUCAUGGGAGCCGGUAGCACCUGAAGCCGGUGGGCUAACCCGAAAGGGAGGCAGCUGUCGAAGGUGGGACUGGUAACUGGGACGAAGUCGUAACAAGGUA
This 1473-nucleotide ribosomal RNA is filed under the name metagenome. Its description in RNAcentral is "bacterial SSU rRNA". It matches the Rfam family "Bacterial small subunit ribosomal RNA". The record is from RNAcentral.